AAUCUCGCAAAACGGCGCAUAAAAUAUAAGGACUUUUCGCGAUUAAUUGAUUUUGCCAAAUUGACCUCUCCGCGGACUUUUCACGAUUUCCGAAGAUCCGUCCAUCGAAUUUCCAAACGGAUUGCGCCAGCGCGUUCAGCACGACUGGGGCAUCGAAUCUAGCAUUUUAUUUCAUCUGAUUUGGACUCCGAUCAGCGACGAAACCUGCCCUCUCUAUUUUCACCAUAUAACCAUUUAUAUUAAUACGUGUAAUUUCAAUCAAACCCCUUUUUCUCGACAACUGUGCAUCAGAACCUAAUUCCGUAAGUGCCAUUGGGUCCAGAAUGGUCGAGCUAUUCGAAACGAGCUAUUGAAGUCCUAUAUUCGGAGUUCAACGUGCACCAAAACCCUUCUCUAAUCAUUGGCUCAUCCAGAAAACCGGAGUUACUAUUCACUUAAGUCAUCGGUUUGGGUCGCGUAACUUCUCCGUCUUAGCUCAUUUUCUCCUAAAAUUUGAUGAGUGCUUUAGUAAUUAUAUUACACACAAAAACAUCGUCAACCAAGGGUUUAAUUUUAUUUUUCAAAAAUUUCGGUUAUUACAUCAUUCCCCCCUUACAAGAAGUUUCGUCCCUGAAACUUAAAUUAAACAUCCCCCGUAAACAACUGCGGAUAACUCUCCCGCAUAGAAGACUCAAGCUCCCAUGUAGCCUCACGCU
Molecule: long non-coding RNA, 695 nt
Filed under: Ananas comosus (pineapple)
Lineage: Eukaryota; Viridiplantae; Streptophyta; Magnoliopsida; Poales; Bromeliaceae
Description: long non-coding RNA (ACOM_LNC044868)
Source: RNAcentral